Molecule: ribosomal RNA, 56 nt
Filed under: Alternaria infectoria
Lineage: Eukaryota; Fungi; Ascomycota; Dothideomycetes; Pleosporales; Pleosporaceae
Description: partial 28S ribosomal RNA
Source: RNAcentral
ACCUCGGAUCAGGUAGGGAUACCCGCUGAACUUAAGCAUAUCAAAAACCGGAGGAA